This 522-nucleotide long non-coding RNA is filed under the name Equus caballus (horse). Its description in RNAcentral is "lncRNA (ENSECAG00000056383.1)". The record is from RNAcentral. Lineage: Eukaryota; Metazoa; Chordata; Mammalia; Perissodactyla; Equidae.
CUCAGCUCCAACACUGGCAAACCUUCCCUGACUUCCCCAGGCAGAUGAUUUGUUCUUUCUCUUUUGAGUCCUCUGCAGUUUCAAAUACUGCCAUUUUUAUAAUUGCCUUGUUUUAUUUUAUCACGUCUCUCAGUCUGUGUCUCCCACUGGGCUGUGAACUCUACGGCAGAAGAACGACUCCUCAUUUGUUUGCUGGCUACCUGGAACCUCAGACAGGCCUGGCACUCAGAGUGCUCAAGAAAUAUUUUUGGGGGCCGACCCAGUGGUGCAGCAGUUAAGUGCUCACAUUCUGCUUCCCAGUGGCCCAGGGUUCACGGGUUCAGGUCCCGGGUGCGGACACGGCACCGCUUGGCACACCAUGCUGAGGUCUUAGGCCUGCUGGCUUUUGGACGGGGACUAUGCCGUCAGCUCUCCGGUUCCCAGGCCUUCGGACGUGGACUGGAACUACACCAUUGGCUUUUCUGUGUCUCCAGCUUACCAUCUGCAGAUAACACUUAAUUUGUUCAAGUCACACAGUAAAGG